GACGAACGCUGGCGGCGUGCCUAAUACAUGCAAGUCGAGCGAGACUCUUCGGAGUCUAGCGGCGGACGGGUGAGUAACACAUGGGCAACCUGCCUGUAAGACUGGGAUAACACCGGGAAACCGGUGCUAAUACCGGAUAAUCCUUUUCUUCCCAUGAGGAAAAGCUGAAAGACGGUUUCGGCUGUCACUUACAGAUGGGCCCGCGGCGCAUUAGCUAGUUGGUGAGGUAACGGCUCACCAAGGCGACGAUGCGUAGCCGACCUGAGAGGGUGAUCGGCCACACUGGGACUGAGACACGGCCCAGACUCCUACGGGAGGCAGCAGUAGGGAAUCUUCCACAAUGGACGAAAGUCUGAUGGAGCAACGCCGCGUGAGCGAUGAAGGCCUUCGGGUCGUAAAGCUCUGUUGUUAGGGAAGAACAAGUACCGGAGUAACUGCCGGUACCUUGACAGUACCUAACCAGAAAGCCACGGCUAACUACGUGCCAGCCGCCGCCGUAA
Molecule: ribosomal RNA, 500 nt
Filed under: uncultured bacterium
Lineage: Bacteria
Description: partial 16S ribosomal RNA
Rfam family: Bacterial small subunit ribosomal RNA
Source: RNAcentral